RNAcentral lists this ribosomal RNA (611 nucleotides) under uncultured bacterium. Its description in RNAcentral is "bacterial SSU rRNA". The stretch from base 1 to 522 matches the Rfam family "Bacterial small subunit ribosomal RNA", at positions 338 to 873 of the family's 1533-position model. The record is from RNAcentral.
CCUACGGGAGGCAGCAGUGGGGAAUCUUGGACAAUGGGCGCAAGCCUGAUCCAGCCAUGCCGCGUGAGUGAAGAAGGUCUUCGGAUUGUAAAGCUCUUUUACCAGGGACGAUAAUGACGGUACCUGGAGAAUAAGCCCCGGCAAACUUCGUGCCAGCAGCCGCGGUAAUACGAAGGGGGCUAGCGUUGUUCGGAAUUACUGGGCGUAAAGCGCACGUAGGCGGGCGAUUAAGUCAGGGGUGAAAUCCCGGGAGCUCAACUCCGGAACUGCCUUUGAUACUGGUCGUCUAGAGAUCGGAAGAGGUGAGUGGAAUUCCCAGUGUAGAGGUGAAAUUCGUAGAUAUUGGGAACGAACACCAGUGGCGAAGGCGGCUCGACUGGUCCGAUACUGACGCUGAGGUGCGAAAGCGUGGGAGCGAAACAGGAUUAGAUACCCUGGUAGUCCACGCCGUAAACUAUGGAAGCUAGCCGUCUAGUCAGCGUGUCUGAGUGGUGGCGCAGCUACGCGAUAAGUCGUCCCGUCCGUCGGGUAGGUACGGUACGGCGAGAGUUAAACGUACGAAGGUAAGUAGUACGCGUUGAGACGUUGCGACGGCGACGACGAGGGAGAGG